AUGUGGGGUAGAAGAAGAAAACUUCGAAGGCUUAAUGAUGUCACCAUUUCUACCUGCCACGUAUCGGCGAAGGUUGGGACUCGACUGGUGUUUUUGAUCACGAUGGGAAAAUCAUCCAGAAAACCCCCUACCCCCACCCCAGAGGGACCACAGUCAGCGUGAAGCAGUUAUUUUCUACGCUACCUGUGCGCCAUAAGGAAUUUCAAAGGAAUAUUAAGAAGAAACGUGCCUGCUUCCCCUUCGCCUUCUGCCGUGAUUGUCAGUUUCUUGAGGGCUCCCCAGCCAUGCUUCCUGUACAGCCUGCAAAACUGACUCCUAGAAGUACCCCACCCCACCCCUGCUCCUUGGAGGACAACGUGAUCACUGUAUUCAGCUCUGUCAAGAAUGGUCCAGGUUCCUCUCCUCCUUCCUGAUGUCUGCCAUUAGCAUUGGAAUAAAGUUCCUGCUGAAAAUCCACAUCUCCCCUGGGUCCGGUGUUCUGGAAGUGAGAGAGACAAUGUCACACUUGAAGGAGGCAGCUCUCUAGACAGGAAGGUUAUUCACGUCCCAUGUCAAGUCUAGCUAGAGUUCAGAGCAAUUGAGAAGUGCAAUUUUAUCUCCUGCCUUUCAUUCUAUACCCUGCUUCUGAACCAUCGUGUUCAACUGUGAAACUCACACUUUGGUGACCCUGACUCCAAAACUUAAUACACCCAAGGUCAGCCCCAGUGAUCUGCUUCAUAGCCAGGACUUUGGGUGGGUCUUCCCAGGGAGUAGGGCACCCUCAGAGAAUGUGGCUUUGGACUUCAUCACAGCUGGGGCCUUUUGUGUCACUUCAGAUCUAAACUUGUAACCGUGCUAGAUCUGUUUCUAACGUGACAACAUCACGAACCACGAGUCCAGAAGCCUAAUCCAUAAUCCUCCCUC
Molecule: long non-coding RNA, 903 nt
Filed under: Homo sapiens (human)
Lineage: Eukaryota; Metazoa; Chordata; Mammalia; Primates; Hominidae
Description: non-protein coding lnc-POM121C-1:3
Source: RNAcentral